GGCGUCCUAUACUUGCAAGUCUCCAUUGCGAAGUUCGUACCCUCCGUCUCCGUUCCUCCUCCUUCGUUCGGUGUACUGCUGUACCUCUCUGCAAUACCUGCCGCCACUGGCUCCUCCGCCGCCGCCGAGCGCGGGCUGCCGAUGAGCGAGGAGAGACGAAGGAGGGCGCCGCCGCCGUCGGCCUCCACCCCAAAGUCGCUGCCGGCCCCAAGAUGUUCUUGUACGUGUAUGUACAUAGUUAUCAUUUUCUAAUUGGUCCUUGAUCCAGUUCAGAUGUCUCAAGUUCUUGGGGUAUGAAGUUAAGUACGUGCGCAUCUUCACCGCCGUUGAUGAUAAGGUAAUGUUCCAUGUGGAAUGUACACUUACUAGUUGAGGGAGGAUGACUGUUUUAUAUGUCUGUUGCUUUUUUAGAAAAACAAAAGAACUGCCUUUGUUUCUUCUGAACAUGUGCUUGUAUUGAGAGAACAACAUUUACUGCCAAAAGAAGUUUGUUAUCCCACUCGUUGGAUCAUCAUGUACUUCGUUCCCAACAAUCUUGCAUAUAAUGUACUUCCUUCCCAACAUGCCUGUAUAUCAUGUACUUUGUUCCAAUCAUGUACUGUACUUCGUUUUUGUUCUAGGUCCUACUCUUUCGUAAGUAUUUUCAUAGCCACAUUUACUUCAUUUCUAUACUUCUGGUUUAGCAUAUAAUUAGAGCUCAAUAUAAAGAGUACUGGUACUUGUAGUAGUGCAAAUUUUGUUUUUCAAAUUAUGUGCUAUUUACCAGAUUGGACGAUAUGUACCUUAAGGGCUUCAUUAGCCACAUCAUGUACUUCGGCUUUGUUCUUGGUCCUACUAGAUCAAUAAAUGUACUUCAGGUUUAUCAUAUAAUCAAUGAUAUGAGUGUUCAGUUUUUCAAUAAAUGUACUUGUAUUAGUGCCAGUUUUUCAAAAUUCAUGUACGUGUACCAAAUUAACUGAACAUUGUGGCUGAUCUGUUUCAAAUGUUUGUUGUGCUUGUACCAAAUUAACCGAACAUUGUACCAAAUUAACUGAACACUUGUAUUAGGUUUGUGUUCUUUCAUUCUCUUCAACGGUUGGUGCCAUCAUUUCUUCUAAGUUUGGGUGGCGGUGCGAAGAUUUGGCCAGUUCUUUAAUUCCGUUGGAUCGUUUUUAUUGUGUAAGAUUUGAACAGAAAUGUGACUAUCUCAAUCAUCGCGGUACAUGAGACGAUGAGUCAAUCAAAGGUACGUCCCGUGCUUGCAAAGUACUGGUACUCUUGACUUGUAAAAACUGUAGUCUCUGCUGUGUACUGAUGAAAUCUGUUAAAAAUCUAGUGUUUCAUUCCAAUAAGUACUCGUACUUGUAUUAGUUCUCUCUCCUUCCAUUGGUUCAUGUUCUGUUUAUCCUUCCUAGUUCCAGUACUAAUAUUUCUCUUAUGUACUUGUAUGGGUAUUCCAAAGUUCCAGUACCAAUGUCUCUCCAGUCCCGUGUAGCUUUCUUCUCUCCAGGGUACACAACAACAAGCGCAUAGAUGUACUUGUACUUUCAAAACUACUACAAUAUGUUGUUUUAUUCCUUGUACACAGCAGGAAGCAUGAAUAUGUACUUGUUUUAUCACCUAUAGUUCAUCCUUUCUAUAAUGGUUUCUUCCCUUGUAAUGUGCUUGUACCUUGCAAAUGGAGUACAAACAUGUUUACGGACAUAUAUAUACUUUUGUACUUUCAAAUCUA
Long non-coding RNA from Brachypodium distachyon (stiff brome), 1711 nucleotides. RefSeq lists it as uncharacterized. The transcript has 2 exons. The record is from RefSeq and is a predicted model, not a curated record. Lineage: Eukaryota; Viridiplantae; Streptophyta; Magnoliopsida; Poales; Poaceae.